Molecule: ribosomal RNA, 515 nt
Filed under: uncultured bacterium
Lineage: Bacteria
Description: bacterial SSU rRNA
Rfam family: Bacterial small subunit ribosomal RNA
Source: RNAcentral
GACGAACGCUGGCGGCGUGCCUAAUACAUGCAAGUCGAGCGGACCAAAGGGAGCUUGCUCCUGGAGGUUAGCGGCGAACGGGUGAGUAACACGUGGGCAACCUGCCUGUAAGACUGGGAUAACAUCGAGAAAUCGGUGCUAAUACCGGAUAAUAAAAAGAACUGCAUGGUUCUUUUUGAAAGAUGGUUUCGGCUAUCACUUACAGAUGGGCCCGCGGCGCAUUAGCUAGUUGGUGAGGUAACGGCUCACCAAGGCAACGAUGCGUAGCCGACCUGAGAGGGUGAUCGGCCACACUGGGACUGAGACACGGCCCAGACUCCUACGGGAGGCAGCAGUAGGGAAUCUUCCGCAAUGGACGAAAGUCUGACGGAGCAACGCCGCGUGAGUGAUGAAGGUUUUCGGAUCGUAAAACUCUGUUGUUAGGGAAGAACAAGUGCCGUUCGAAAGGGCGGCACCUUGACGGUACCUAACGAGAAAGCCACGGCUAACUACGUGCCAGCAGCCGCGGUAAAGUC